Dunckerocampus dactyliophorus (ringed pipefish) is the source of this 281-nucleotide non-coding RNA. NCBI's taxonomy places the organism in Eukaryota, Metazoa, Chordata, Actinopteri, Syngnathiformes, Syngnathidae. The record is from RefSeq and is a predicted model, not a curated record.
UCUUUGCAGCCUUGUGACUUUGCCGCUUGCACUUGUCCAUUGCUUGUGGCUCUAACAAGGUUUGCGAAAAGCAAUUCAAAGAUUGAGAAGGCGUGACUUCCGGAGGCUCGGAAGCUUCACGUGCGAUGUUCUUUGGACACUGCUCCUGCUUUCCACGGUGGCGAUGGCUUGGCUAUAUAGGCAUCGCCUUUCUUGAGGCAGGAAGAGGAAAACGGUGGCAGCCAGAUAUUGUUUGAAGCAGUUGAAGACCUUCCUGUCAGACACUGUUGGCUGUUGCACAA